This 419-nucleotide ribosomal RNA is filed under the name uncultured bacterium. RNAcentral describes it as "bacterial SSU rRNA". It matches the Rfam family "Bacterial small subunit ribosomal RNA", at positions 358 to 772 of the family's 1533-position model. The record is from RNAcentral.
GGAAUUUUGGGCAAUGGGCGAAAGCCUGACCCAGCAACGCCGCGUGAAGGAUGAAAUCCCUCGGGAUGUAAACUUCGCAAGAACGGGAAGAAUAAGUAGGGGACAAUACCCCCUAUGAUGACGGUACCGUUUGUAAGCUCCGGCUAACUCCGUGCCAGCAGCCGCGGUAAUACGGAGGGAGCUAGCGUUGUUCGGAAUUACUGGGCGUAAAGCGCACGUAGGCGGCUUUGUAAGUUAGAGGUGAAAGCCUGGAGCUCAACUCCAGAAUUGCCUUUAAGACUGCAUCGCUUGAAUCCAGGAGAGGUGAGUGGAAUUCCGAGUGUAGAGGUGAAAUUCGUAGAUAUUCGGAAGAACACCAGUGGCGAAGGCGGCUCACUGGACUGGUAUUGACGCUGAGGUGCGAAAGCGUGGGGAGCAAA